GGUUACGUAACCUUCCUUUUGCUGGAGGAUAGCCCCGAGAAAUCGGGAUUAAUACUCCAUAAUAUCAUUGAGAGGCAUCUCUUGAUGAUUAAAGCUCCGGCGGCAAAAGACGGGCAUGCGUGACAUUAGCUUGUUGGUGAGGUAACGGCUCACCAAGGCUGCGAUGUCUAGGGGGUCUGAGAGGAUGAUCCCCCACACUGGUACUGAGACACGGACCAGACUCCUACGGGAGGCAGCAGUGAGGAAUAUUGGGCAAUAGGCGCAAGCCUGACCCAGCCAUGCCGCGUGAAGGAUGAAUGCCCUAUGGGUUGUAAACUUCUUUUGUAUGGGACGAACCCCACGCUCGUGAGCGUGGCUGACGGUACCAUGCGAAUAAGCAUCGGCUAACUCCGUGCCAGCAGCCGCGGUAAUACGGAGGAUGCAAGCGUUAUCCGGAUUCAUUGGGUUUAAAGGGUGCGUAGGCGGAGCAAUGAGUCAGUGGUGAAAUCCUACAGCUUAGCUGUAGAACUGCCAUUGAUACUGUUGUUCUUGAAUGCAGUUGAGGUUAGCGGAAUGUGUAAUGUAGCGGUGAAAUGCGUAGAUAUUACACAGAACACCUAUUGCGUAGGCAGCUGACUAAACUGUGAUUGACGCUGAGGCACGAAAGCGUGGGGAUCAAACAGGAUUAGAUACCCUGGUAGUCCACGCCGUAAACGAUGAUUACUCGCUGUUGGCGAUACACAGUCAGCGGCUAGCGAAAGCAUUAAGUAAUCCACCUGGGGAGUACGACGGCAACGUUGAAACUCAAAGGAAUUGACGGGGGCCCGCACAAGCGGAGGAACAUGUGGUUUAAUUCGAUGAUACGCGAGGAACCUUACCUGGGCUUAAAUGCAGAAUGACUUCUUGUGAAAGCGAGAUUCUCUUCGGAGCAAUUUGCAAGGUGCUGCAUGGUCGUCGUCAGCUCGUGCCGUGAGGUGUCGGGUUAAGUCCCAUAACGAGCGCAACCCUUAUCGUUAGUUGCCAGCGGGUAAUGCCGGGGACUCUAACGAAACUGCCAGUGUAAACUGUGAGGAAGGUGGGGAUGACGUCAAAUCAGCACGGCCCUUACGCCCAGGGCUACACACGUGUUACAAUGGCCGGUACAGAGGGCAGCUACUAGGUGACUAGAUGCUAACCUCGAAAACCGGUCCUAGUUCGGAUUGAAGUCUGCAACUCGACUUCAUGAAGCUGGAUUCGCUAGUAAUCGCGCAUCAGCCACGGCGCGGUGAAUACGUUCCCGGGCCUUGUACACACCGCCCGUCAAGCCAUGGAAGCUGGGGGUACCUGAAGUCCGUAACCGUAAGGAGCGGCCUAGGGUAAAACUAGUGACUGGGGCUAAGUCGUAACAAAGU
RNAcentral lists this ribosomal RNA (1370 nucleotides) under metagenome. Its description in RNAcentral is "bacterial SSU rRNA". It matches the Rfam family "Bacterial small subunit ribosomal RNA". The record is from RNAcentral.